CCAUUCAAAUCCAAUCAUUGCAUAAACUAUAAGACCGUAUACCACAGAUUGGACAAAAAUAUAUGGAAGCUCGAUCAAGACCUGUGCAAAGGCAUAGGGCAAGGCGGAAUACAUUCCAGCAGCUCUCUCUCUGUAAAAAACACUUCUUUCAACAGCAACUACUGGCUGCACGGAUGAAGCAUUUUGGAUCCCAAGGAAGACAAUAGCAGCAUACAUUGAUCCCAUUGCAUUGAAAAGAUCUUGACGCUUUGUCCUAUAAUUCAAGACAAGAUAAAUCAGAAAGCAGAUAGGACUGUUGGAAUAUAAAAUUUCACAUUCUUUUGGAUUACUAUUCAUGCUGUAACUUACGUUUUGGAGCCAAGGUCCCAGAACAUUGUUCCAAACAUCAAAGCUAUGACGGUUGUGAAGAGCAAUCUCACAGCAGUAUAUGAUGGAUUGCGCCAGUAUGACCAGUGUUGCUUCCACAAGCAAGCCAUAGUUUGGGUGAAAAAUGACUGUGAGUACUGUGUAGGAAAAUACAGGUCUUUUGAUUCUGGUGCAGGUGUACUUAAUUCUUCAAUCAGUGCUUUGUUUCUCCUAUAUAGUUCUGAAUUUCUGUAAAUAGAAGUAAAAUCCACUCCCAAAGCUGAUUCUUGAGCUGAACUGGUGACUUCCAACAUCCAAGUUGCUGGACUACAUCCAUCUUUGAUGUUAGGAA
This 697-nucleotide unclassified non-coding RNA is filed under the name Hevea brasiliensis (rubber tree). Lineage: Eukaryota; Viridiplantae; Streptophyta; Magnoliopsida; Malpighiales; Euphorbiaceae. The record is from RNAcentral.